GACGAACGCUGGCGGCGUGCUUAACACAUGCAAGUCGAACGGAAAGGCCUGCUUUCCCUUGUGGAUUGCGGGUACUCGAGUGGCGAACGGGUGAGUAACAUGUGAGUGAUCUGCCCCCAACUUGGGUAUAAGCCUGGGAAACUGGGUCUAAUUCCCGAUAGGACUGCAGGGUGGUGCCUGUGGUGGAAAACGAUUUUCUAGUGGUUGGGGAUGAGCUCGCGGCCUAUCAGCUUGUUGGUGGGGUAAUGGCCUACCAAGGCGGCGACGGGUAGCCGGCCUGAGAGGGUGGACGGCCACAUUGGGACUGAGAUACGGCCCAGACUCCUACGGGAGGCAGCAGUGGGGAAUAGUGCACAAUGGGCGGAAGCCUGAUGCAGCGACGCCGCGUGGGGGAUGACGGCCUUCGGGUUGUAAACUCCUUUCGACCGCGAGGAAGCCACCUGGUUGGAAGGGUGGUGACGGUAGUGGUAGAAGAAGCACCGGCUAACUACGUG
Molecule: ribosomal RNA, 494 nt
Filed under: uncultured bacterium
Lineage: Bacteria
Description: partial 16S ribosomal RNA
Rfam family: Bacterial small subunit ribosomal RNA
Source: RNAcentral